CCCUUAGAUGUUCUGGGCCGCACGCGUGCUACACUGAGUGGAUCAGCGGGUCAGGUUGCGCGAAAGCGUUUCCUAAUCUUUAAAUCCGCUCGUGAUGGGGAUUGACGGUUGCAAUUUUCUGUCAUGAACGAGGAAUACCUUGUAAGCCCGGGUCAUCAUCCCGCGCUGAAUACGUCCCUGCCCUCUGUACACACCGCCCGUCGCUCCUACCGAUUGAGUGGUCCGGUGAGGCUUUGGGAUCUGAGCGGAAAGAGCGUUUCGCUGUUUCUGCUCGGAAAACUCAGUCGAACCUUAUCAUUUAGAGGAAGGAGAAGUCGUAACA
RNAcentral lists this ribosomal RNA (322 nucleotides) under uncultured eukaryote. Its description in RNAcentral is "partial 18S ribosomal RNA". It matches the Rfam family "Eukaryotic small subunit ribosomal RNA", at positions 1470 to 1796 of the family's 1831-position model. The record is from RNAcentral.